UACGAAGGGUGCAAGCGUUAAUCGGAAUUACUGGGCGUAAAGCGCGCGUAGGUGGUUCGUUAAGAUAGGAGUGAAAGCCCCGGGCUCAACCUGGGAAUUGCUUCUAAAACUGGCGAGCUAGAGUAUGGUAGAGGGUGGUGGAAUUUCCUGUGUAGCGGUGAAAUGCGUAGAUAUAGGAAGGAACAUCAGUGGCGAAGGCGACCACCUGGACUGAUACUGACACUGAGGUGCGAAAGCGUGGGGAGCAAAUAGGAUUAGAUACCCUGGUAGU
RNAcentral lists this ribosomal RNA (271 nucleotides) under uncultured prokaryote. RNAcentral describes it as "partial 16S ribosomal RNA". It matches the Rfam family "Bacterial small subunit ribosomal RNA", at positions 524 to 794 of the family's 1533-position model. The record is from RNAcentral.